RNAcentral lists this transfer RNA (67 nucleotides) under Canthidium sp. DPP-2018. Its description in RNAcentral is "tRNA-Tyr". Lineage: Eukaryota; Metazoa; Arthropoda; Insecta; Coleoptera; Scarabaeidae. The record is from RNAcentral.
AGUAAAGUGACUGAUAAAAGUGAUAAACUGUAAAUUUAUAAAUGAAAUAAUUAAAUUUCCUUUACUA